This 213-nucleotide ribosomal RNA is filed under the name uncultured Anoxybacillus sp. RNAcentral describes it as "partial 16S ribosomal RNA". It matches the Rfam family "Bacterial small subunit ribosomal RNA", at positions 1171 to 1382 of the family's 1533-position model. The record is from RNAcentral. Lineage: Bacteria; Bacillati; Bacillota; Bacilli; Caryophanales; Anoxybacillaceae.
AAGUGGGGAUGACGUCAAAUCAUCAUGCCCCUUAUGACCUGGGCUACACACGUGCGUACAAUGGGCGGUACAAAGGGUCGCGAACCCGCGAGGGGGAGCCAAUCCCAAAAAGCCGCUCUCAGUUCGGAUUGCAGGCUGCAACUCGCCUGCAUGAAGCCGGAAUCGCUAGUAAUCGCGGAUCAGCAUGCCGCGGUGAAUACGUUCCCGGGCCUU